AGAUUAAGUUAUUAAGGGCGCACGGUGGAUGCCUUGGCACUAGAAGCCGAUGAAGGACGUUACUAACGACGAUAUGCUUUGGGUAGCUGUAAGUAAGCGUUGAUCCAGAGAUUUCCGAAUGGGGGAACCCAGCAUGAGUUAUGUCAUGUUAUCGACAUGUGAAUUCAUAGCAUGUCAGAAGGCAGACCCGGAGAACUGAAACAUCUUAGUACCCGGAGGAAGAGAAAGAAAAAUCGAUUCCCUGAGUAGCGGCGAGCGAAACGGGAAGAGCCCAAACCAACAAGCUUGCUUGUUGGGGUUGUAGGACACUCUAUACGGAGUUACAAAAGAACAUGUUAGACGAAUCAUCUGGAAAGAUGAAUCAAAGAAGGUAAUAAUCCUGUAGUCGAAAACAUAUUCUCUCUUGAGUGGAUCCUGAGUACGACGGAGCACGUGAAAUUCCGUCGGAAUCUGGGAGGACCAUCUCCUAAGGCUAAAUACUCUCUAGUGACCGAUAGUGAACCAGUACCGUGAGGGAAAGGUGAAAAGUACCCCGGAAGGGGAGUGAAAGAGAACUUGAAACCGUGUGCUUACAAGUAGUCAGAGCCCGUUAAUGGGUGAUGGCGUGCCUUUUGUAGAAUGAACCGGCGAGUUACGAUCUGAUGCAAGGUUAAGCAGCAAAUGUGGAGCCGCAGCGAAAGCGAGUCUGAAUAGGGCGUUGAGUAUUUGGUCGUAGACCCGAAACCAGGUGAUCUACCCUUGGUCAGGUUGAAGUUCAGGUAACACUGAAUGGAGGACCGAACCGACUUACGUUGAAAAGUGAGCGGAUGAACUGAGGGUAGCGGAGAAAUUCCAAUCGAACUUGGAGAUAGCUGGUUCUCUCCGAAAUAGCUUUAGGGCUAGCCUCAAGUGAUGAUUAUUGGAGGUAGAGCACUGUUUGGACGAGGGGCCCCUCUCGGGUUACCGAAUUCAGACAAACUCCGAAUGCCAAUUAAUUUAACUUGGGAGUCAGAACAUGGGUGAUAAGGUCCGUGUUCGAAAGGGAAACAGCCCAGACCACCAGCUAAGGUCCCAAAAUAUAUGUUAAGUGGAAAAGGAUGUGGCGUUGCCCAGACAACUAGGAUGUUGGCUUAGAAGCAGCCAUCAUUUAAAGAGUGCGUAAUAGCUCACUAGUCGAGUGACACUGCGCCGAAAAUGUACCGGGGCUAAACAUAUUACCGAAGCUGUGGAUUGUCCUUUGGACAAUGGUAGGAGAGCGU
This 1238-nucleotide ribosomal RNA is filed under the name Salmonella enterica subsp. enterica serovar Typhimurium. Its description in RNAcentral is "partial 23S ribosomal RNA". It matches the Rfam family "Bacterial large subunit ribosomal RNA", at positions 1 to 1239 of the family's 2925-position model. Lineage: Bacteria; Pseudomonadati; Pseudomonadota; Gammaproteobacteria; Enterobacterales; Enterobacteriaceae. The record is from RNAcentral.